CAAAUUCGGUUCUUCGAUAGAGAGAAUGAAAGUGAACCAAAUCCAGAAGUUUUAACUACUGAGUUCUUUACUCCAAGGGAAAACCAAACGGAGGAGUUAACCGAAAAGCUCAAUUCCAUCACUAAGGAGAUGACCCAGAAGCUCGAUUCAGCUGUUGAUGGUGAUGAGGAGAACCUUCCUCAUGAAGGUGAUGAUGAAGAGAACCUUCCUCAGGAAGGUGAUGAUGAAGAGAACCUUCCUCGGGAAGGUGAUGAUGA
Non-coding RNA from Camelina sativa (false flax), 257 nucleotides. The record is from RefSeq and is a predicted model, not a curated record. NCBI's taxonomy places the organism in Eukaryota, Viridiplantae, Streptophyta, Magnoliopsida, Brassicales, Brassicaceae.